UGUCACAUCACUAAUAAUUGAUGCAGAAUGUCACAUCUCUAAUAACCAAUAGAAAAUGAACAGUUUGUUUACGAAUUUCAAUACAUUACACAGAAGUUUAAAUAAUCUUUUUUAAUACUUAGUCGCAACUCCGGCAGCAGAAAUCACUUGGAAGUGUUCCAAUCAAGAUGCUGGAUGACGACUUCCACUCUUACCAUGAAGAAGCUAUUAAGUAUGGAUUUAACCAAGUACCUUUCUCAAAAGUAAAGGCCAUAACUUAUAAUAAAUCAAAUUGGAAUAUCAUGCAAUACAAAACCAGUUUCCUAGGGCCCACAACAUCAGUAGACAUAAAUAAACAAAAAAUUCAAAACCUAAGUGAUGUAAGUGUGAAGGCUCCUACAAGCACUGUUACACAAAGAUGUACAAAAGUAUUAUAAACUUAAUUAUGUAACAAUAAGCAUUCAACGUAAACCUAACAUGUGAGCAAAGUUAUUCUUUUAAAUAAAAAAUUUAAGAUUCAAA
Pieris napi is the source of this 501-nucleotide long non-coding RNA. RefSeq lists it as uncharacterized. Lineage: Eukaryota; Metazoa; Arthropoda; Insecta; Lepidoptera; Pieridae. The transcript is spliced from 2 exons. The record is from RefSeq and is a predicted model, not a curated record.